AAACUCCGAAUGCCAAUUAAUUUAACUUGGGAGUCAGAACAUGGGUGAUAAGGUCCGUGUUCGAAAGGGAAACAGCCCAGACCACCAGCUAAGGUCCCAAAAUAUAUGUUAAGUGGAAAAGGAUGUGGCGUUGCCCAGACAACUAGGAUGUUGGCUUAGAAGCAGCCAUCAUUUAAAGAGUGCGUAAUAGCUCACUAGUCGAGUGACACUGCGCCGAAAAUGUACCGGGGCUAAACAUAUUACCGAAGCUGUGGAUUGUCCUUUGGACAAUGGUAGGAGAGCGUUCUAAGGGCGUUGAAGCAUGAUCGUAAGGACAUGUGGAGCGCUUAGAAGUGAGAAUGCCGGUGUGAGUAGCGAAAGACGGGUGAGAAUCCCGUCCACCGAUUGACUAAGGUUUCCAGAGGAAGGCUCGUCCGCUCUGGGUUAGUCGGGUCCUAAGCUGAGGCCGACAGGCGUAGGCGAUGGAUAACAGGUUGAUAUUCCUGUACCACCUAUAAUCGUUUUAAUCGAUGGGGGGACGCAGUAGGAUAGGCGAAGCGUGCGAUUGGAUUGCACGUCUAAGCAGUAAGGCUGAGUAUUAGGCAAAUCCGGUACUCAUUAAGGCUGAGCUGUGAUGGGGAGAAGACAUUGUGUCUUCGAGUCGUUGAUUUCACACUGCCGAGAAAAGCCUCUAGAUAGAAAAUAGGUGCCCGUACCGCAAACCGACACAGGUAGUCAAGAUGAGAAUUCUAAGGUGAGCGAGCGAACUCUCGUUAAGGAACUCGGCAAAAUGACCCCGUAACUUCGGGAGAAGGGGUGCUCUUUAGGGUUAACGCCCAGAAGAGCCGCAGUGAAUAGGCCCAAGCGACUGUUUAUCAAAAACACAGGUCUCUGCUAAACCGUAAGGUGAUGUAUAGGGGCUGACGCCUGCCCGGUGCUGGAAGGUUAAGAGGAGUGGUUAGCUUCUGCGAAGCUACGAAUCGAAGCCCCAGUAAACGGCGGCCGUAACUAUAACGGUCCUAAGGUAGCGAAAUUCCUUGUCGGGUAAGUUCCGACCCGCACGAAAGGCGUAACGAUUUGGGCACUGUCUCAACGAGAGACUCGGUGAAAUCAUAGUACCUGUGAAGAUGCAGGUUACCCGCGACAGGACGGAAAGACCCCGUGGAGCUUUACUGUAGCCUGAUAUUGAAAUUCGGCACAGCUUGUACAGGAUAGGUAGGAGCCUUUGAAACGUGAGCGCUAGCUUACGUGGAGGCGCUGGUGGGAUACUACCCUAGCUGUGUUGGCUUUCUAACCCGCACCACUUAUCGUGGUGGGAGACAGUGUCAGGCGGGCAGUUUGACUGGGGCGGUCGCCUCCUAAAAGGUAACGGAGGCGCUCAAAGGUUCCCUCAGAAUGGUUGGAAAUCAUUCAUAGAGUGUAAAGGCAUAAGGGAGCUUGACUGCGAGACCUACAAGUCGAGCAGGGUCGAAAGACGGACUUAGUGAUCCGGUGGUUCCGCAUGGAAGGGCCAUCGCUCAACGGAUAAAAGCUACCCCGGGGAUAACAGGCUUAUCUCCCCCAAGAGUUCACAUCGACGGGGAGGUUUGGCACCUCGAUGUCGGCUCAUCGCAUCCUGGGGCUGUAGUCGGUCCCAAGGGUUGGGCUGUUCGCCCAUUAAAGCGGUACGCGAGCUGGGUUCAGAACGUCGUGAGACAGUUCGGUCCCUAUCCGUCGUGGGCGUAGGAAAUUUGAGAGGAGCUGUCCUUAGUACGAGAGGACCGGGAUGGACAUACCUCUGGUGUACCAGUUGUCGUGCCAACGGCAUAGCUGGGUAGCUAUGUGUGGACGGGAUAAGUGCUGAAAGCAUCUAAGCAUGAAGCCCCCCUCAAGAUGAGAUUUCCCAACUUCGGUUAUAAGAUCCCUCAAAGAUGAUGAGGUUAAUAGGUUCGAGGUGGAAGCAUGGUGACAUGUGGAGCUGACGAAUACUAAUCGAUCGA
Molecule: ribosomal RNA, 1958 nt
Filed under: Staphylococcus aureus
Lineage: Bacteria; Bacillati; Bacillota; Bacilli; Caryophanales; Staphylococcaceae
Description: bacterial LSU rRNA
Rfam family: Bacterial large subunit ribosomal RNA
Source: RNAcentral